This 128-nucleotide small nucleolar RNA is filed under the name Tetraodon nigroviridis (spotted green pufferfish). RNAcentral's name for it is "Small nucleolar RNA SNORA42/SNORA80 family (ENSTNIG00000020479.1)". Lineage: Eukaryota; Metazoa; Chordata; Actinopteri; Tetraodontiformes; Tetraodontidae. The record is from RNAcentral.
GCAUGUUUCGAUUUGAGAGGCGACCCGGUGGUCCCGUCUCAGUGUACCGCAUGCCAGAGCAGCCACGACUCCCAACCAUUGGCCGGUCCCCAACCGUGGACCGGAUCACUGAAGCGAGUCGCACACGU